RNAcentral lists this small RNA (1015 nucleotides) under Pyricularia oryzae. RNAcentral's name for it is "Magnaporthe oryzae sRNA M_BR32_EuGene_00136941". The record is from RNAcentral. Lineage: Eukaryota; Fungi; Ascomycota; Sordariomycetes; Magnaporthales; Pyriculariaceae.
AAAUAUUCGAAUAAUGGCCAUUAAUUUUUUAUUGUAAAUUUGGUAAUUAUAUUUUGGUUUAUAUAAUUUUUAUAAAAAAAAAACGCAAAAAUGCAAUUGUUUUUUUUUCUUUUAUUAAUUAAAUUAUUUUUAAAUCGUAUAAUUUAAUAUGUCGGUUUUAAUUUCGAAAAAAUGUUUGGAUUUGGUAUUUUAAAAAUUGGGUUUUUGGUUAUUAUAUCCCGUAAUUGUUCCAAAACCUACUAUAUUUAUUUCGUUUAUCAAAAUUUUAAAUUAUUUUAAUUAUAUUGGUUAAUAAAAUAACAAUUGCGCCAUAUUUUUUGAUAAACUUUUUAUAAAAAUUUACAAAUUCGAAAAAUAUUCGAACGUUUUUUAUAUUUUGCUGUUAGGGCCAUUUUUCUAUUAUUUAAAUAAAUAACGGCGAAAAUAUUUGAAUAUUUUUUAAAAACGUGGUUAAUUAUAAUUUGGAAAGCUAUUGGGACGUUGGUAAAACCGAAAAAUAUUAUUAAAUAUAUAUAAUAUUUUUGUCGGAUGCGAAAUAUUAUUUCCUAUUUUUCGCCUUUUUUUAUACGGAUUAAAUUAUAUAUUCUUUUAAAACUUAAUAUGGUAAAUUAUUAUAUUUAAUAAAAUAUAUUUUGCAAUUUUUUUAUUAAUGGAAUUAAAUAGCAAUUUUCUAUAAUAAUAUCGUUUAAUUAUUUAUAAUUUACGUAUAAUUGUAAUUUUCUGUUUUUUUUAAUUCGAAAAAAAUUGGGUAUUUUAUUAAUAAUAUUAAUAAUUUAAUAUAAUUGUUUUUAAAAAACUUUGCGAAAUAUUUUUUUAAUAUUUUUAUUUAUAUUAAAUUUAAUCCGUAUAUUUUAUAAAAUCUAAGUUAUAUUUUUGUUUUAAUAAUAUUUUAUAAUUUAACCAAUUAUAUUUGGGUAAUUUUAUUUCGAAUUUUGGAUUAAAUAAUUAUUUAUAUAUCCGGUAUUUUGUUACGAUUAAAAUAUCGGGUAACCUGUUUUUAUAGUAAAAUAUAAUA